GACGAACGCUGGCGGCGUGCCUAAUACAUGCAAGUUGAGCGCUGAAGGUUGGUACUUGUACCGACUGGAUGAGCAGCGAACGGGUGAGUAACGCGUGGGGAAUCUGCCUUUGAGCGGGGGACAACAUUUGGAAACGAAUGCUAAUACCGCAUAAAAACUUUAAGCACAAGUUUUAAGUUUGAAAGAUGCAAUUGCAUCACUCAAAGAUGAUCCCGCGUUGUAUUAGCUAGUUGGUGAGGUAAAGGCUCACCAAGGCGAUGAUACAUAGCCGACCUGAGAGGGUGAUCGGCCACAUUGGGACUGAGACACGGCCCAAACUCCUACGGGAGGCAGCAGUAGGGAAUCUUCGGCAAUGGACGAAAGUCUGACCGAGCAACGCCGCGUGAGUGAAGAAGGGUGUCGGAUCGUAAAACUCUGUUGGUAGAGAAGAACGUUGGUGAGAGUGGAAAGCUCAUCAAGUGACGGUAACUACCCAGAAAGGGACGGCUAACUACGUG
RNAcentral lists this ribosomal RNA (497 nucleotides) under uncultured bacterium. RNAcentral's name for it is "partial 16S ribosomal RNA". It matches the Rfam family "Bacterial small subunit ribosomal RNA", at positions 28 to 507 of the family's 1533-position model. The record is from RNAcentral.